Molecule: ribosomal RNA, 492 nt
Filed under: uncultured Glomus
Lineage: Eukaryota; Fungi; Glomeromycota; Glomeromycetes; Glomerales; Glomeraceae
Description: SSU rRNA
Rfam family: Eukaryotic small subunit ribosomal RNA
Source: RNAcentral
CGGUAAUUCCAGCUCCAAUAGCGUAUAUUAAAGUUGUUGCAGUUAAAAAGCUCGUAGUUGAAUUUCGGGAUCAAAUUGUCGGUCGUGCCUCGGUACGUACUGGCGUUAUUGGUUCCUCCCUUCUGAAGAACCGCGAUGUCAUUAAUUUGGUGUCGCGGGGAAUCAGGACUGUUACUUUGAAAAAAUUAGAGUGUUUAAAGCAGGCUCGCGCUUGAAUACAUUAGCAUGGAAUAAUGAAAUAGGACGUUUGAUUCUAUUUUGUUGGUUUCUAGGAUCGACGUAAUGAUUAAUAGGGAUAGUUGGGGGCAUUAGUAUUCAAUUGUCAGAGGUGAAAUUCUUGGAUUUAUUGAAGACUAACUACUGCGAAAGCAUUUGCCAAGGAUGUUUUCAUUAAUCAAGAACGAAAGUUAGGGGAUCGAAGACGAUCAGAUACCGUCGUAGUCUUAACCAUAAACUAUGCCGACUAGGGAUCGGAUGAUGUUAAUUUUUUAA